RNAcentral lists this non-coding RNA (744 nucleotides) under Pongo abelii (Sumatran orangutan). Lineage: Eukaryota; Metazoa; Chordata; Mammalia; Primates; Hominidae. The record is from RNAcentral.
AAAAACACAGCAAAUGAAUCAAACGGACCAGGGGUUAGUUAUAGCAGGCAAGAGUGUGGUUAUCGUUGGACCAGGAUUCAGGAUCUGACCGAGUAGCUGACUCUUAAUCCAGUUUGUGUUGAUCACCAGGAGGAUCUGGACCUCAGUGUUAUCAUAUCUAGAGGUGAUAUGCCAACUCCACCUUUGCCUUCCACCAUGUUUGGAAGCUCCCUGAGGCCUCACCAGGAGCAGAUGCUCAUCCCAUGCUUCCUAUAAGCCUGCAGAACUGUGAGCCAUAAUAAACUGUGAAUUAUAAAUUGCCUUUAUAGCAAUGCAAAUGGACCAGUACAGACGGGAUGCUGGGAAGACAGUUGUUCCACCUUCAGUAAAGUCCAUGAAACACAGUUGUGACUAUAUUCUAGGCCAGCAAAGAUGCUUGUAUUCAGAAAGGAGUGGUCUCAGGACCAUAGGAACGUGAAGAAAUAAAAAUAAGAAAAUAAAGAAGGGAUUGUCAAUGAAUCAAUUCAUCAAGGUCAAAGUCUUAGGAAAUUCAUGAGGAAGUCUAGGGGGGCUAUGGAAAUGAAAAUUUUUAAACAAAUAGGUAUGUGGUGCUGGCAAGAGUAAAUUAUGGACUUAUGAAUAUAACAUAAGAUUCUUUAUUACCUGGUCUUACCCGUCUUUCCACCUCUGCCCCCCUUCUUCCCCAACUCUAUGUGUCACCCAUAAUAAACUACUUACAGCUUCCUAGUGUUAAAUUUACCCUAA